AAUUCUCCUGCCUCAACCUCCCAAGUAGCUGCUAUUACAGAUGCAGCUGGAAUCAAAGUCCCACCAAGGGGAGGAGACAGGGACCCCAAAGGCACCUGCUAUCUUUAUCAAUAGAGAACAGACAAUAAUGGGACACCAGUGCUGUGGAAUGGUGUGCAGGCGUUUGAAGGAGGGAGGUCAGGCCACACAGGCUGUCCUGGAAAGGCAUCCAGGCAAGAAUACAGAUGUGAUGGCUGGAGGUCCAGCAGCUAUCAUGGACCCUGAAGUGAUCUGGAGGCUAGACAUCACACCCUAAGAAUGGCAGAGCUGAAAGGCAGAGGAAACAUGAGUCUCUGGUGAUACUAUGAAGCUUCUAGUCCAGCCCUGAACACAAUAAAAGUUUUUCUUUCUCAGGGUCUCUACAGGGAGACAAGAGGGGUAUUCUUCUUAUCUAUGUCACCGAUGGGCUGAUGCUGAUGGAGUAACCACCAUGUUGAACAUCACUCUAUUAGAGCCCUGGAGGGUACUGGUAACUAAAUAUUUAGCCUGGAUGUCAAAUCACUUCUACUCAUUGGCCAGAACUAGCCCCAUGGCUCCGUCUAAUCAAUGGUAAGACAGCCAGGAAAUGUCAUCCUGCCAAGUACCCAGAAGGCAGGGAGCAGAAGGAGGUCCAGUGAUCAUCAUUAAGAAAUCAAGUUGGGGCUGGGCGUGGUGGCUCACGCUUGUAAUCCCACCACUGUGAGAGGCCAA
This 729-nucleotide long non-coding RNA is filed under the name Homo sapiens (human). Its description in RNAcentral is "HSALNT0309476". Lineage: Eukaryota; Metazoa; Chordata; Mammalia; Primates; Hominidae. The record is from RNAcentral.